UCGGGAAUUUUGGGCAAUGGGCGAAAGCCUGACCCAGCAACGCCGCGUGAAGGAUGAAGUCUUUCGGGAUGUAAACUUCGUAAGAAUAGGAAGAAUAAAUGACGGUACUAUUUGUAAGGUCCGGCUAACUACGUGCCAGCAGCCGCGGUAAUACGUAGGGACCAAGCGUUGUUCGGAUUUACUGGGCGUAAAGGGCGCGUAGGCGGCGUGUCAAGUCAAUUGUGAAAUCUCAGGGCUUAACCCUGAACGGUCAAUUGAUACUGAUGUGCUAGAGUGCAGAAGGGGCAAUCGGAAUUCUUGGUGUAGCGGUGAAAUGCGUAGAUAUCAAGAGGAACACCUGAGGUGAAGACGGGUUGCUGGGCUGACACUGACGCUGAGGCGCGAAAGCUAGGGUAGCAAACGGG
RNAcentral lists this ribosomal RNA (404 nucleotides) under uncultured bacterium. RNAcentral describes it as "bacterial SSU rRNA". It matches the Rfam family "Bacterial small subunit ribosomal RNA", at positions 355 to 776 of the family's 1533-position model. The record is from RNAcentral.